RNAcentral lists this transfer RNA (73 nucleotides) under Bacteroidota bacterium. RNAcentral's name for it is "Bacteroidetes bacterium (marine metagenome) tRNA-Gly". It matches the Rfam family "tRNA". From Rfam's summary of the family: Transfer RNA (tRNA) molecules are approximately 80 nucleotides in length. Their secondary structure includes four short double-helical elements and three loops (D, anti-codon, and T loops). Lineage: Bacteria; Pseudomonadati; Bacteroidota. The record is from RNAcentral.
CGAGAUAUAGCUUAACUGGUAAAGCAUCUGCCUUCCAAGCAGAGGACGCGGUUCGAAUCCGAUAUUUCGCUCA